UACGUGCCAGCAGCCGCGGUAAUACGUAGGGGGCAAGCGUGUCCGGAAUCACUGGGCGUAAAGCGCGCGCAGGCGGCGAUCUGCGUCUGGGGUGAAAGCCCGGAGCUCAACUCCGGGAUUGCUUGGAUACGGGGUCGCUUGAGGAUCGGAGAGGCAAGGGGAAUUCCACGUGUAGCGGUGAAAUGCGUAGAGAUGUGGAGGAACACCUGUGGCGAAGGCGCCUUGCUGGCCGAUUUCUGACGCUGAGGCGCGAAAGCGUGGGGAGCAAACAGGAUUAGAUACCCUGGUAGUCCACGCCGUAAACGAUGAGUGCUAGGUGUUGGGGGGUACCACCCUCAGUGCCGAAGCUAACGCAUUAAGCACUCCGCCUGGGGAGUACGGUCGCAAGACUGAAACUCAAAGGAAUUGACGGGGGCCCGCACAAGCAGUGGAGCAUGUGGUUUAAUUCGAAGCAACGCGAAGAACCUUACCAGGACUUGACAUCCCGCUGAUCGGUUUGGAGACAGACCUUCCCUUCGGGGCAGCGGUGACAGGUGGUGCAUGGUUGUCGUCAGCUCGUGUCGUGAGAUGUUGGGUUAAGUCCCGCAACGAGCGCAACCCUUGAAUUGUGUUGCUACCAUUUAGUUGAGCACUCACAAUUGACUGCCGGUGACAAACCGGAGGAAGGCGGGGAUGACGUCAAAUCAUCAUGCCCCUUAUGUCCUGGGCUACACACGUGCUACAAUGGGCGGUACAAAGGGAUGCGAAGCCGCGAGGUGGAGCCAAUCCCAAAAAGCCGUUCGUAGUUCGGAUUGCAGGCUGCAACUCGCCUGCAUGAAGCCGGAAUUGCUAGUAAUCGCGGAUCAGCAUGCCGCGGUGAAUUCGUUCCCGGGCCUUGUACACACCGCCCGUCACACCAUGGGAGUUGGCAACACCCGAAGUCGGUGAGGUAACUCGCAAGAGAGCCAGCCGCCUAAGGGGG
Molecule: ribosomal RNA, 961 nt
Filed under: uncultured bacterium
Lineage: Bacteria
Description: bacterial SSU rRNA
Rfam family: Bacterial small subunit ribosomal RNA
Source: RNAcentral